AACGGGCUGGACGUCAAGUGUUUACAAUACGUCAGAGGGCCAUUGAGCGAUAUCUCACACGACCAAUCAAAGCGGAACCUGAAAUCAGCGCUUGUGCAAUCGGAGACUUUGGAGCGAACAGCUUUUCCCCCCGCCCACCCUCUGCCCGUUCGCGAGAGGAAAAAAAAAAACGUCAUCUGUUUCAUACAUUUCACUUAGCUUUAGCCAACAUUAGCUUGGCGUUUACAUCGUGGCGAAACACCCAUGCUCCCCGUCAACAGAUAGUCGGUCUGUAUUUACGUGACACGAUGCCCACAACAUGACUUUGAAAGCCUUACCCCGACGUGAAGACCUGCCGAGAAGGGAAGUGGCUGGCUAGCUUUCAAUCCGUGCUAGGUGACUAGCGGCCGAUGGACGAAAGAGGCUAAUGUUUAAAGAGCGCUAAGCCUAUCAUAACAAGGCUUGCUCCUUAUAUGCAACCUGCCUCUGAAGCAACACAAAACAAGGACCGUUUGAGAACCCGCAUCUCUUCUAACAGCAUCUGUGGGUCUCUGCAGAGCUGAGCCAUGGGUGCCUUCCUGGACAAGCCCAAAACAGAGAAGCACAAUGCCCACGGUGAAGGAAACGGCAUCCGCUAUGGGCUGAGCUCCAUGCAGGGCUGGCGAGUGGAGAUGGAAGAUGCUCACACAGCAGCGCUUGGAAUCCCUGCACCCGGUCUGACCGACUGGUCAUUUUUCGCCGUCUACGAUGGCCAUGCGGGCUCCAGGGUUGCCAACUACUGCUCCAAGCACCUUCUGGAGCACAUAAUCAGCGCCGGUUUUGGGGAUGGAGGGCACCAGAGCUCACUGGCUGGUUCAGAGAGCACUACAGACGGCCCUCCGGCAGAGAUUGCCCCAACAGUGGAGGCUGUGAAAGAUGGCAUCCGGACAGGCUUCCUGAGGAUUGACGAGCACAUGCGCAGCUUCUCUGACAUGCGCAACGGCAUGGACCGAAGUGGCUCCACGGCCGUGGGUGUCCUCCUGUCGCCCGAGCAUUUUUUUUUCAUGAACUGCGGGGACUCUCGGGCUGUUUUGUACCGAAAUUCCCAAGUGUGCUUCUCCACGCAUGACCACAAGCCUUGCAACCCUCGUGAGAGGGAGCGCAUCCAGAACGCCGGCGGCUCCGUCAUGAUCCAGAGGGUGAACGGGUCGCUGGCUGUCUCUCGAGCCUUGGGGGACUAUGACUACAAGUGCGUCGUUGGCAGGGGCCCCACCGAGCAGCUGGUGAGCCCCGAGCCAGAGGUUUAUGAGAUUGUUCGGACCCCUGAGCAAGAUCAGUUCGUUAUCCUGGCAUGCGACGGAAUCUGGGAUGUUAUGUCCAAUGAGGAGCUUUGCGAGUUUGUCAAAUCGAGGCUUGAGGUAUCUGAUGAUUUGGAGAGAGUCUGCAAUGAAGUGGUGGACACCUGCCUGCACAAGGGGAGCCGGGAUAACAUGAGUGUUGUGUUAGUGUGUUUGCCCAACACUCCCAAAGUGUCUGAAGAAGCUGUGAGGAGAGAUGGAGAGCUCAACCAGUACCUGGAGUCUCGUGUGGAAGCGUUGCUGUCCCGGCCGGCUGACGAGAGCUUUCCUGACCUGGUGACAGUGAUGAGGAACUUGUCCGCUGACAGCGGCAUGCCGGCUCUGCCACCAGGGGGAGGCCUUGCCAGCAAGUAAGAGCCCCCCAUCUCCGCCAUAAUAAGACAAAGCGUUAUUGAAGCAGUGUACAACAGUCUAAGUCCGUACAGAGAAGAAGAAGGGAGCACCACUGGCUUGGAGUGUCACUGGUAGAAGUUCCUGAUCUGCUUGGUGGACUUAAACAGGAGGGGGGGGAACAAACAAACAAACAAAAAAAGUCCAGGAUCGUUCCCUACCACCCCUUUUCCCAGCAUCUUGACUCUCUUUCUCCCAGUGAGAAUUCACAGGACCUGAGAAUUCACAAGACAUGGAAUUCAAAAGGGGAAGGGUAUGUUGAAGGCAUUUUUAAAAAAAAAAAAAAAGCACACUUCUUUGUGCCACUGAAUUGAAAAACUAUGCGCCAAAGCCCCGCCACCGCCCACUUCUUGAAGACCAAUAAAAAAAAGUGAGAACAUGCCAGUCAACCAUUUCCAAAGCUUCUAGACACUCCUGACCAUGGUCUCCACUCGCUUCAAACACGAAACAUUAUUUGCCUGAAAACCAGUUCGUGGACUUUUAAAAGCCCUUAUUUAUUUUUUUUUGCCACUAAGUCCAAAAAACAACUGCUUGCCACACCAGAUCACAACCGGGACAGUGUUCAAAAUUCUCCCUGUGCAGUCCAAAAUGUCAGGCAGGUCUGGUGAAUCCUUUUUGCAUGUGCUUCCUCUCAGCUCGCCACUUUGAUAUUGAUAGGACCCAACUUGCUUAGCUGUCAAAUGGAGGAUAACCGUCGUCAAAAAUAAUUGGUCAAAUUCUGAAUAAUAUACAGAGAUCUGUCUUUUGACUUCAUUCUCAAACCCAGCCUCGUGGCCUACUCUGUGCGGAUGUGAUUUUUUUGUGCAUACGUGCUACUCUGUGUUGUUCAAAACAAAUGCACAAGGUUGUGCAUGGUAUUCUGACACAGUAACAUUCCAAAGAGGGUGUACGUGAGGGGAUUGGAGACCCCCAGCCUAUUCUUUUUGACACACACACUCGAUCCUGCUUGUGCUGCCACUUCCCUUUUUGUGAGUUGUGAAAUCAAUAAACAAAAAUGCCAAAAUGUGAGUUUA
RNA transcript from Syngnathoides biaculeatus (alligator pipefish), 2719 nucleotides. It is a transcript of the gene named protein phosphatase, Mg2+/Mn2+ dependent, 1Ba, with no coding region annotated. The transcript has 6 exons. The record is from RefSeq and is a predicted model, not a curated record. NCBI's taxonomy places the organism in Eukaryota, Metazoa, Chordata, Actinopteri, Syngnathiformes, Syngnathidae.